This 602-nucleotide non-coding RNA is filed under the name Pongo abelii (Sumatran orangutan). Lineage: Eukaryota; Metazoa; Chordata; Mammalia; Primates; Hominidae. The record is from RNAcentral.
GGAAGGGAGGAAGCGUAGAAGGUGCCGAUGCACUUUUCCUCUCUCCAGACUUCCUGACUGCUCCAAGAAUUUCAUCGAACAAGACUCAAAGAGGCCCAGCUGCUCUGCGUUUUGAUUCUUCUCCCUCUCUCAGUCCACACUGACCUGGGAGGGGCUUCUCAAACACCACAUUUCCUAGCAUGCUGUGAGAAGAGGACUGUGAGCUAAAAAGGGAGAAAAGAUGGAGUCUCUCACUCCAUCCCCCAGGCGCUGGACUGCAGUAGCACGAUCUUGACUCACUGCAACCUCCGCCUCCUGGGUUCAAGCAAUUCUCCUGCCUCAGCCUCCCAAGCAGCUGGGACUACAGGCACUCCCUUCCUCAUCAACAAACACCUGACCUGGGUAGACCCUCUGCUUACCAAGAUCCAGUCCACCUUUUGACAUCAGCAUUCAUGCUGCCUCUUUUUACGAACCAAGCCAAAGUGGUCCCUUCCUCUGGAAAUUAUAGGGUACUUAAUGUACCUCAUAUCCAGCUUCCCAACUCCAGACUGUGGGAGAUGACAUCGAGUCAGCCUGCCUGGAUGUGACUCAGCUCUGCAACUUAUUAAAGACCUUUGGCAAAU